AUUGAACGCUGGCGGCAUGCUUUACACAUGCAAGUCGAACGGUAACAGGCCGCAAGGUGCUGACGAGUGGCGAACGGGUGAGUAAUGCAUCGGAACGUGCCCAGUCGUGGGGGAUAACUACUCGAAAGAGUAGCUAAUACCGCAUACGAUCUAUGGAUGAAAGCGGGGGACCGUAAGGCCUCGCGCGAUUGGAGCGGCCGAUGUCAGAUUAGGUAGUUGGUGGGGUAAAGGCUCACCAAGCCAACGAUCUGUAGCUGGUCUGAGAGGACGACCAGCCACACGAGGACUGAGACACGGACCAGACUCCUACGGGAGGCAGCAGAGGGGAAUGUUGGACAAUGGGCGCAAGCAUGGUACAGCAAGGCGGCGUGCAGGAAGAAGGCGUUCGGGUUGUAAACUGCUUUUGUACGGAACGAAACGGCUCUGGUUAAUACCCGGGGCUAAUGACGGUACCGUAAGAAUAAGCACCGGCUAACUACGUG
RNAcentral lists this ribosomal RNA (482 nucleotides) under uncultured bacterium. RNAcentral's name for it is "partial 16S ribosomal RNA". It matches the Rfam family "Bacterial small subunit ribosomal RNA", at positions 29 to 507 of the family's 1533-position model. The record is from RNAcentral.